RNAcentral lists this ribosomal RNA (467 nucleotides) under uncultured bacterium. RNAcentral describes it as "partial 16S ribosomal RNA". It matches the Rfam family "Bacterial small subunit ribosomal RNA", at positions 28 to 506 of the family's 1533-position model. The record is from RNAcentral.
GACGAACGCUGGCGGCGUGCUUAACACAUGCAAGUCGAACGGAAAGGCCCUGCUUUUGUGGGGUGCUCGAGUGGCGAACGGGUGAGUAACACGUGAGUAACCUGCCCUUGACUUUGGGAUAACUUCAGGAAACUGGGGCUAAUACCGGAUAGGAGCUCCUGCUGCAUGGUGGGGGUUGGAAAGUUUCGGCGGUUGGGGAUGGACUCGCGGCUUAUCAGCUUGUUGGUGGGGUAGUGGCUUACCAAGGCUUUGACGGGUAGCCGGCCUGAGAGGGUGACCGGCCACAUGGGGACUGAGAUACGGCCCAGACUCCUACGGGAGGCAGCAGUGGGGAAUAUUGCACAAGGGGCGGAAGCCUGAGGCAGCAACGCCGCGUGCGGGAGGACGGCCUUCGGGUUGUAAACCGCUUUCGCCUGUGACGAAGCGUGAGUGACGGUAAUGGGUAAAGAAGCACCGGCUAACUACGU